GUGGGGAAUUUUGGACAAUGGGCGCAAGCCUGAUCCAGCAAUGCCGCGUGCAGGAAGAAGGCCUUCGGGUUGUAAACUGCUUUUGUACGGAACGAAACGGUCCUGGUUAAUACCUGGGGCUAAUGACGGUACCGUAAGAAUAAGCACCGGCUAACUACGUGCCAGCAGCCGCGGUAAUACGCAGGGUGCGAGCGUUAAUCGGAAUUACUGGGCGUAAAGCGUGCGCAGGCGGUGCUGUAAGACAGGCGUGAAAUCCCCGGGAUCAACCUGGGAAUUGCGCUUGUGACUGCAGUGCUGGAGUACGGCAGAGGGGGAUGGAAUUCCGCGUGUAGCAGUGAAAUGCGUAGAUAUGCGGAGGAACACCGAUGGCGAAGGCAGUCCCCUGGGCCUGUACUGACGCUCAUGCACGAAAGCGUGGGGAGCAAACAGGAUUAGAUACCCCUGUAGUCC
RNAcentral lists this ribosomal RNA (450 nucleotides) under uncultured bacterium. RNAcentral's name for it is "partial 16S ribosomal RNA". It matches the Rfam family "Bacterial small subunit ribosomal RNA", at positions 354 to 796 of the family's 1533-position model. The record is from RNAcentral.